RNAcentral lists this ribosomal RNA (450 nucleotides) under uncultured bacterium. Its description in RNAcentral is "partial 16S ribosomal RNA". It matches the Rfam family "Bacterial small subunit ribosomal RNA", at positions 354 to 796 of the family's 1533-position model. The record is from RNAcentral.
GUGGGGAAUCUUCCGCAAUGGACGAAAGUCUGACGGAGCAACGCCGCGUGAGUGAUGAAGGUCUUCGGAUUGUAAAACUCUGUUGUCAGGGACGAAUGUGCGAACGUUGAAUAAGCGUUUGUAUUGACGGUACCUGACGAGGAAGCCACGGCUAACUACGUGCCAGCAGCCGCGGUAAUACGUAGGUGGCAAGCGUUGUCCGGAAUUAUUGGGCGUAAAGAGCAUGUAGGCGGGCUUUUAAGUCCGACGUGAAAAUGCGGGGCUUAAACCCGUAUGGCGUUGGAUACUGGAAGUCUUGAGUGCAGGAGAGGAAAGGGGAAUUCCCAGUGUAGCGGUGAAAUGCGUAGAUAUUGGGAGGAACACCAGUGGCGAAGGCGCCUUUCUGGACUGUGUCUGACGCUGAGAUGCGAAAGCCAGGGUAGCAAACGGGAUUAGAAACCCGUGUAGUCC